This 298-nucleotide ribosomal RNA is filed under the name uncultured eukaryote. Its description in RNAcentral is "partial 18S ribosomal RNA". It matches the Rfam family "Eukaryotic small subunit ribosomal RNA", at positions 1470 to 1796 of the family's 1831-position model. The record is from RNAcentral.
CCCUUUGAUACUCUGGGCGGCACGCGCGCUACAAUGGAUAACUUAACGUGUUACAUGUCCGAAAGGAUGUAUGCAAAUCACAAAUGUUAUGUCUCGAGUGGGAUAGUUUACUGCAAUUAUAGACUUGAACUAGGAAUCCCUUGUAGGUACACUGAAGCAUAGUGUACCGAAUACGUCCCUGCCGUUUGUACACACCGCCCGUCGUUUCUUCCGACUGAUACUCAUUGUGAAUUACGGGGAUAACGUUGUUGAAAACCGUUGUAAAUGCUGGGUAUUGGAGGAAGAAAAAGUCGUAACA